Molecule: long non-coding RNA, 967 nt
Organism: Nicotiana attenuata
Lineage: Eukaryota; Viridiplantae; Streptophyta; Magnoliopsida; Solanales; Solanaceae
Exons: 3
Source: RefSeq, a predicted model, not a curated record
CGUAUGUUGUGGCCGCGCGUCAAAAUUGAUAGUAAUAUAUAAAUACAAGAAUUUUCGGGAUUUCAGAUCCUAUUUCGUUUUGGCCAACUUUUUCAGGAGAAAAAUACCCUAGAGUUUCCCCAAAUAAUACAAGGUGAGUUCCUACUCGAUUCCAUUGAUUAUUACAUCAAACUAACAAUGAUUAACACCAAUUCUUCUUCCAAAUUCCUAAAUUAUUGAGAAUUCCAACAAAGGGCAAUUAAGGUGGAAUUUUUUGACUCUCUUCAACGGGUAACUGCUCGAGCAUUAGAGAUUUCGUUUGAAUUAAUUUGGCAGGAUUUAAGUACUUGGACAUACUACUAUUGUUUUUGAUGCUAUGUUAGGCAACAAAGUAGAGCAGGUACAGGCAGAUCGAGUGGGCUAGGAGUACUUGUUGCUUUCAAGUUGUUGGUGAACCCACAUCCUUGUUCGUGGGGCUCCUAUGAGUCAUUUACUAAUUCUUAAUAGUUUCACGUUGUGUCCUGAGUAAUAUUUUUUUUCUUAUAAGCUCCAUUAACAAUGGUCAUACUGUGAGAAGUAUUGUGCAAGUCAUUGCUUAACUUGUUUUCAAGAUUUUUGAAUUAUUAAAUUUAACUAAGAUUAAUGUAUUUAGACGUAAUUUUAUUAUGCUUAAUGUUUAAUGAUUUUUCAACUAAAUAAGGGGCAAGUGUCGUAACAUCCAUCUUAUAAGGUGCUUUCGGUGCGGUUCCUUAGCAUCAGAUGCCUAUUGCGCCAACGUCGGAUUUGGGGGGUAACAAGCUUGGUAACAGAGCUCUAGGAUUAGAAGUAACCUUGGAUUGUAUGUGGAGCUGUUUCUACCGAGGUACUCUUGAUGCAGACUGGCCAACUAUAUUGAUGAACGACUCCAGGACAUUAUAGGUGUUUCCUACUCUUAUAUUGUACUGUAGAGCUUGAACUUCUCUUUAAGAUCAUUUUGACAUAUUCGUUA